CAAACACAGCACACAUAUAUAUAUAAUAUAUCAUAUAUGAAAAGAAUUUAAAAAAAUAUAGAAAAUGCUCGUGAGAAUAUAUAUAUAUAAAGAAAAAUAAUAUAUAGCUGACCCUUUUUGGCAUCAGAGGUAGUUUCAGUUAAGUCCCUGGCUGAGACUUCUGAAGAAAUAAGAAGAACCAUAGCCAAGAGGCCUAGGAUGAGGAUUGCCUUUUUCGAAUCCAUUGUUCAAUAUCUGUUCAAAUGUAAUAUUUGGUAGUGAACGAUGAGAAAACUAGUAAGAAGUAUGCUCUAUAUAUAAUGGAGGGAAGGAGAGGGAGAUGUAAGGACCUUUACUUGGUAGUUGGGAAGGUAGCUAGUGAGUAUAAAUUCAAUCUUAUCUAUAAAUUUUGAAAUAUUGUUUGGUAAUUUUGAUACUAUUCAUAAUCUAUACUAUGUACAACAAAAAUGCAUGGUUUUAGGAUGAUUUUUUCACUUUCAAUUAUACUCUUACAAAAUUGCCUAUAAAAAUGUUAUAUUAUUGACGUCAUUUAAAAAUAUAUGAAUUUAUACUAUAUUUGUUAUAGGGUAAAAUAUGCUUUUCAUCCCUGCAAUUAUAGGCCGUUUGAUUUUUCAUCCCUGAGCUUACUAAUCCUCCCAUUUUGCCCUUGUAAUUACUAAUCAUUUGAAAGUUCGUCCCUCUUCCCAGAUAAUCACUGCCACAUCAUCAAAUUAGCAAAAUGGCAUGGGAAUUGACAAAAAUACCCCUGAUCUAUUUUUAAAAUUCUGAAAAUUGUUUUUAUAAAUUAAAAAAUCUGAAAAUAAUUUUAAAAAAUAAAAAAAUUAUAAAAAUAUUUUGAAAAUAACUUUUUCGAAAAAAAAUGAAAUAAUUUUUCACAUAAUUUUAAAAAAUAUAUAAUCAGAUUUUUUCGAAAUUAAUAUUCUGAAUUUUAAAAAAAUCUUUAAAAAAAAUCAGAUUUUUUAAUAAUUUUCGAAAUUAUAUAUUCAGAUUUUAAAAAAUUAUAUAAUUUUAUAUUUUUUUCAUAUUUCAAAAAAUUAUAUUUUUUUAAUUUUUUAAAAUUAUUUUCAGAUUUUUAAAUUUUUAAAAAUAAGUCAGGGGUAUUUUUGUCAAUUCCCAUGCCAUUUUGCUAAUUUGAUGACGUGGCAGUGAUUAUCCGGGGAGAGGGACGAACUUUCAAAUGAUUAGUAAUUACAGGGGCAAAAUGGGAGGAUUAGUAAGCUCAUGGAUGAAAAAUCAAACGGCCUAUAAUUGCAGGGAUGAAAAGCAUAUUUUACCCUUUGUUAUAUUAUAGGUGUCAUCGGAAAAUAAAAUUGAAGUUUAUCACAAUAUAAAAAUACAAAAUAUCUAUAAUUUUAAUUUUAAAUACAAUCAAAAUUUCAUAUAACUGUCGUUUGAAUGUCUUAACACAAUAAAAAUAGUGGACAAACUAACAUGAGAUAUCUUUCAAACGAAAGGGAAUAGUAAAAAUCGGAGGCUAUGAAAGUGAAGUAGGAUUAUAUUUGCAAUUGGCUGAAAGCGACAAACUAUUGAAAGAAUACUACUGGUGGUUCAUAACUGCUAUCUCAUCUCAUGGAGAUACAUAGAUCCCAACUAAAUAAAAGAAUUGGCAAGAGAGUACUCUCUCCGAUUUUUAUCAUAAAAAAAAAUAUUGAAAAAACAUCAAAUUCAAUGCAAUCAUUAAUUAAUGUAACUUUUUGAAUAUUUUUAAAAAAGAUGUUAUUGGUCUUUAAUUUGAGGUGGUAUGAGUAUUCUUAUCGUCCUUCGGUAGGAGCGUCAGGUUGUUUAUAAACUGUGCGGGGUUGUUUUUGUUGGAGGUGUAGUCAUCGUACAAUUUUGAGCAUGUUCUGGAUCCCAUGGUAUGUUUCUUACUAAUAAUAUAUAAUUACAAAUUUUAUUUGGCAAAUAUAUAUGAUCCAUGUGAUAAUGUAGAUAAGAAAUUUUUAUUUGACAAGUUAUUUGCAAGUCUUGGUGUAUGGGAGGGGAAGAACUUUUGUGUGUGUGGUGAUUUUAAUGUGGUUCGGUGUAUGGAAGAAAGGAAAUCAAUUAGGGAAGUAGUACAUUAUGAAGACAUUGAUCCUUUUACUAGAUUUAUUGAGGAGAAUUUCUUAGUUGGUCUCCCUCUUGGGGGUCAUGCAUAUACUCGGUAUUAGAGAGACGGUAGAAACAUGAGCCACCUGGAUAGAUUCCUGUUAUCUGGAGCUUGGUGUUUGACUUAGACUAAAUGUUUUCAGAUGGCUCAAAUUAGAGGUUAUCAGAUCAUUAUCCUAUUGUGUUGUUUCGUUGAUGACAAAAUUGGGGGCCCAAACAACCGCAUAUGUUGAAGUGUUGGUUAGAGAUUCCAAGUACUAAGUAGUUUGUUUGUGAUCAGUGGAGGUCUUUUCAGGUUGAUGGUUUGGGUGGUUACGUGCUUAAGGAGAAGUUUAAGUUGAUCAAAUCGGCGCUUAAACUAUAGAAUAAUAAUCAUGUUCAAAAUUUGUCAGGGAGGAUUUCUGCUAUUAAGGAGAGAAUAGCUUUGUUAGAUUGUAAAGGGGAAAUUGAGUUGUUUUCGGAUGCGAGUCUGAGGAGUUACGUGGGCUGAUGGGUGAUUUAUAGUUUUUAUCUCGUAUAAAUACUAGUAUUUGUUGGCAAUAAUCUAGGCUACUUUUGCUAAAAGAAAGAGAUUCGAACUAUAAGUUUUUUCAUGGCAUUACUUCUAGUCAUCAUCGGCAGGGCAAUAAUCUUAAUUCUAUUAUUGUUGAAGGCGCUCGGGUGGAAGGAGUGUCUAAUGUGUGUACUGCAAUUUUUUCUCAUUUUGUGGCUCAUUUUAAGGCGGGUAAUGUUGAUAGACCACUUGUGGAUGAUCUUCAUUUUCAUACUAUAUUGCCUAUGGAUGGAGUGAAUUUGAUUAAGGAUUUUAGUCUAGAGGAAGGGAAAGUUGCAGUCUGGGAUUGUGACAGUUUUAAAAAUUCUGGGCCCGGAUGACAUUAAUUUUAGUUUUAUAAAGGAGUUUUGGCCUGAAUUAAAAGGUGAUCUCAUGAGGUUCAUUUCAGAGUUUCACCGCAAUAUAAGAUUAACGAAAGAUAUUAAAUGUACCUUAUCUUCUCCUUUUUAUCAUCUUUAUUCACUUUGUAUUUUAAUAUCUUGUUAUUGUCUCUCUUCACUCUCACUUGGUAUGUGUAUAUAUGUUUAGAUUAACUAAUUUCUCAAUAACUUAUUAAUUUUUUUUGUUUAUGUGUUUGGUGUGAAAGAAGGACAUCAAGUAUAGAUAGGUUUUUAUUUUUAUUUUUGAAAGAUCAAGUAUAGAUAGGUUGAAACUGAGUAAUCGAGCAAACUUUCGUAUGGUAGCUCAUAUGAAAAAUUAAGCGUUUAAAACAAAUGUAGCAAUAAAAAAAAAAAUUGACUUGAAGUCAUCAAAGAGAUUUUUUUUGACACAUAGUCAUCAAAGAGAUAGAUCUAUCGAGCAAUGAUAUAUAGUGUCACAUGAACAUGUUUUUUAAACUUCACAUUCUAACUUGCAUAUAUUUAUUUUGAUUCCUUACAAAAUGGUUUAUAUCUCCGAUAUGCAAUGUGUAGAUCCCUUGGACGGUUGCAGGAGCAGAACAAUGUUUCAAGUCUAUUUAUAAUAACAAAACAACCCAAACAAAAAUUAUAAGAAAAAAAAUUAUAUAUUCAUAGGGGUCGUAGGCGUAUUUGAAUCUAGGUUUGCAUAUAUACAUUAGGCUUAAAUAUAUUUUUAGUCUUUUAUCUUUUACAACAAAUGUAUUUUGGUUAUUUAUCUUAUUUUGGUCCUUUUUUGUCAAAAAAAAAAAAUAUUUUUUCUCUAUUUUUUAAAAAUUGGUAUCUUUUUAAAAAUUAGAGAAAGUUGAAAACUAUAAAUCCACGUGGCUUCCGGUUUGUCAAUUGUAUUGUAGCAAUCUAAUCUCCUCUAAAGGAGUGCGUCAAAUCCUUUUUUUAAAAGGACGUCUCAAUAAAAUCUCCUUCUAAUAUUUAUGUUCUUGUUUUCGAUUUCAACAAUCUUUUUCACUAUUCCGAACAAACAACAGUGUCUUUCCUUCUUUUUUAUCAAGUAGUAUAGUGACUAAAAUUUAUAUUUUUUAAGGUGAAUGAGUUGAGUGUCUAGAGUUAGAACUCUAACAUCUGCAUAUAAUAAUGUCUGUCUCUGGUAACUAAACUAAUUUCCUUUUCUAAAACCAAAAGCCUAAAAUUUUCCUUAAAGCCUAAACUAUUCACCUUAAAUAUAAAUUUUAGUCAUUCACCUUGAAAAAUAUAAAUUUUAGGCUUUUCUCAUGCCACGUAUUAAAAUUCUGUCACUGAUGUUAUAAUUUAUGAUUAAAAGACUAAAUCCUAAAUCUUUUUAAAAAUAUAAAUAAAUUACCAAAAUAUGAUAAAAUUAAGAUAAAGCAUCAAAAUGUAUUUUUAAUAAAAGAUAAAAGACUGAAAAUAUAUUUAAGUCAACAUGUUAAGGGAGGAAGGGACCAUGGGGACCCUCGACUACCCUCCCUAUGUCCUUUGUCCUUACUGCUCAUGUCACAAUAACAAGUAAAUGAUUUUUAAGAUAUUUUGAAUAUUCAACUGAUGUACUUGUGCUAAAUUAAAUUGCCAGCAACAAACGAUAAUGAGAGUCACCCACUUAGUUCAGUUUUUCUUUUUCAUCAAAUCUAACAAAAUUUAUGCAUUAAAUGUUUCUCUAUUUUCUUCUAUAGGUACAAAUUUGCAGUUAUGAGCAUUUAAUGUUAGCAAAAAUAUAUCCAAAUAGCAUUGCAAUUUUUGAAAAAUAUUAUGAUUCACAUGAUCUACUCAUCCAAACAAUGAUAACAAUUUUUUUUUUAAAACAUUGUUGCCGACUCUAUUAUGAUGUUACUCCCUCCGUUCCUUUAUACAUGUCAUUUUAUAUAAUUUUUUUGUUUCUAAUUAAGUGUCAUUUUCAAAGUUCAAUGUAACAUUAAAUGUUGUUUUUCUUAUAAUGCCCUUAGUAAUUUAUUGCAGAGAGAUAAAUUUAAGAAAUAUAAUAUUAAAUAAUUAAGGAUAUUAUAGGCAAACCAUAAGUUAUUGUAUCAAAAGUAGUGAAAUACAUUUAAUGUUUUGGUUUGUGUAAAAAGUCAAAAUAUGAUAAUUAAAAAGGAACGGAGGGAGUAUGAUUUAGUGAUAAGUAAGUGGCAUGCUUGGCAAUGUCUAAUUUGACACAAUUUUUGGCAUUAAAAUUUAUGAGUUAGACUAACAAAUACUUUUAGGGUACUUGUUAAAGAUUCAAAAAUAAAAAUAAUUGAAUAUACAAUUUUUAAGAUUAUUAAAAUUUCACUUUAAAUUUCUAAGCAAAUGUCAUAAGGACACUUGUUAACAUCUUACAAAAUUCAUUUGUAGUCAAACUAGUACAAAUAACAUUUCCAUCGAAUGAGAAUCAACUCCAAAAUUUCACGGUGAUCGUUGUACUUUAUUUAUACUUUUGUACUCCAACAACUUUUCUAUAUUUAUAUAUAAUUAAAAUGAAUUUUGAUUGUUAUACAUUUAAAAAAAAUUAUUCUAAACUAUCUAAAUAGUAUAAAUUGAUAAGAAUCAAACAAGCAUGUAUUCAAACAUAAAUCAAGUUACUUUCAACUCAAUUUUAAUCAAAAAUCAAUUCUACAAAACUCAAUUUUCACCCUCACAAAGCUAAACCCACACUUUAAUGACCUAAACCAUAAAGAUACCUUGAAAUAUCUGCUCAAUGCUAUAUGGAAAUAAAAUAACAAACGUAACAAUGAAAAUUGAAAGCCACACAAAUGUUUAGUGUCUCUUGGGCAAGACGAAAAUACCAAAUUAAAUCCUCUCAUUUCUUCUUAUAACUCAAUUUAUAAUAAAUUAUGGAGAAUGUUAACUAUUGUCUCAAAAACAUUGGUUAAACAUCUAAAAUAAUAAGUUUUCAUAAAAAAGUUGUGUAAACAUUAUUUGAUCAAAAGUAACAUCUUAUAUUUUCAAAACAAAAUUUCUAUUUGUAGAUUCAUUAACCAUUAACCGGAAGACACUGGUUAGAAAGACCCAUAAAUUAUUUAUGAGAUGUAAUGCUAACCGUUAAGGAUACUAGAAAAUGAAGUUAUUACUUAAUUAUAUUUUUUUUUUACUUUUUAUGGAUUAAUUUCACAAUUUUAAUUCAAUUAAUACUAUAUAAUUUCCUUCUUUAGUUUCUUUAACUACUUUCUCAAGGACACUGAUUAACAUUUCCUUUAUAAUAAUGAUCGAUGAACUAUACGUGUUGUAACUUUUUAAUUUUUUUUACAAAUAUACCUUUAAUGGAAGUUGUGAAACAUUAAAUACAUUCACUAAUAAUAGAAAUACAAUUAUUAAAUAAGGGGUAGAAAAGUCUUUUAAGCAAUAACUAUGUGACAUUUUCUUUUAAAAAUGACCAAUUUUUUUUUUUUAAAAAAACUUUCUUAUAUUAAGGACCAAAGGGACUAAAUUCAUCCAUUGUAGUCAAUUUAUCUAUAAAUGAGUGUUUUUUGAACAACCAUUUAAUUAAACACUUAUAAAGCAACCAUAAUUUACAAAAAAAAUAUUUACACAAAAACUAAAGCAAUAUAAAAAUGAAAUAAAAAAUAAUGUUAAUAUAUGAAAAAUUUAUCAUAAAAUGAAUAUUCAAAUUUCAUUUCUCUUAUCUAACCAAUCUUCCUUUUCCUUAUAUGAAAGUUACAAAGCCGCCACAAAAGACUUUCCUUCAAUCAUUGUAAGGAUAACUCAUUCAGUACGUGGACAUGGUCCUCGAAUUCAAUCAUGUGGAACCAUCCAUAGGCAUAGCCAUAAAUAUUUAGAGGUUCAUGUUUCCUUCAUCAAUGGCAAUUUUAGCAUAUGAUAAUGAUUGAUGUCUUUAUAGGAGUGUUUUCGAUCAACCCACAAAUCUUGUGCUUAUAGAUACUCUUGUUUAAAGAGUUGUCUAGAACCAAAUAUUUUUAACAAAAUUCAAUAUGGUAAGUUACUAUUAUUAUAAAACUUAUUUAAGUUGGAUUGAGUAUAUAAUGAAAUAAAAUCAUUUGAGAAAAAUUAUUUGUCUCAAAAUACUUUUUUUUUUUGUAGGGAUUUGUCUCACAAUACUUAAAGCCACUAAGUAGUAACCAUUGUUUUUAUCAUGAAUUUAUUUUGUGAUUUUUUAUACAUAAUUUUAUUAAAAUUGAGGUGUUAUAAAUAUUUUUAUGAGGUCUUACAAUAAAAUGACAAAUCAUUUGGAAGGCCUCAAGUUUGAAUCAUAGCUGAACAAUUUUUAAUCAUGCCUUUUCUACUUUAUAAGUGAACUUGGGUCAGUAUUUUUUUUUUCAUAAAGAUAAUAAGAUUGUUACUAGCAUUUAAACUAUUACCCGCAUAUAAAUUACGAAAAAUAGUUUUUAUAGAAUUUUAAUUACAAUUAUAUUGAUCUUGAUUAAAAUUAUAGGUAUAGAUAAUAGAUAUUUUUCAAUUUUAUAUUGUAACAAACUAUAAUUAUCUUUUUCAAUGUUAACAAAAAUAUAAUAAAUUUAUUUUUAUUUUUUUGAAUGAUUUCAACAAAAUAGUAUUUUUAUAAUCAAAUUUGUUUAAGAAUAUAAUUGAAAAGAAAAAAUAUGCAUAAAACGGCUUAUUUUUUUUGACUGGUGCUAGUCACACCCCAAAAAAAACAAGUUACACCCCAGAAUGACUAAUAUACCCCUAAGUUGAACAUAAGUAAACUAAAUUUACAUUAACCUAAAUUGAACAUAAGUAAACUUAAUUUACAUUGAACAUAAGUAAACUUAAUUUACAUUGAACAUAAGUAAACUAAAUUUACAUUAACCUAAAUUGAAUAAGUAAACUGAAUUUACAUACUGAACAUAAGUAAACUUAAUUUACAUUAACCUAGAUUGAGUAAACUGAAUUUACACUAACCUCUUAUAUCUAGAUUGAACGUAAGUAAACUAAAUUUACAUUAACCUAGAUUGAACAUAAGUAAACUAAAUUUACAUUGACAUAAGUAAACUAAAUUUACAUUAACCUAAAUUGAACAUAAGUAAACUGAAUUUACAUUAACCUAGAUUGAACAUAAGUAAACUGAAUUUACAUUAACCUAGAUUGAACAUAAGUAAACUUAAUUUACAUUAACUUAGAUUGAGUAAACUGAGUUUACACUAACCUCUUAUAUACAUGUAAACUGAAUUUACACUAAUCUAGAUUGAACGUAAAGUUAACUAAAUUUACAUUAACCUAGAUUGAACAUAAUAAGUAAACUUAAUUUACAUUGACAUAAGUAAACUAAAUUUACAUUAACCUAAAUUGAACAUAAGUAAACUUAAUUUACACUAACCUAAAUUGAACAUAUCUCAUACCAAAACAAACAAUAAACAAAUAGAAACUCAUUGAAAAUGAAAUUCAUGAAAUUCACUAAUCUUUAUGAAUAUAGUACAAAUCAAUAACAAAGAUGUUGAUUCAAAUAUUGGUUGCACAUCUAUGGUGAUUUGUGGAUGAAAGGGGGUAAGGGUUCAGAAUGAUCAUAAAAGAUGGAUUUUUAAAAAUUUACAUGAAAAGGACAAUUUUGGUAUUAUUGUAAAAAUUUAAAUAAAUUUAGGUGUAACUAAUUUUUUUUGGGGUGUGACUAGCACCAGUCAUUUUUUUUUAUAGAUAUAGAGUAACACUUGUUUUGCAAAAUAAUAUAGUACACAUUCUCCAUAAUUAUAAACAUAAUUUCUUCUUAAAGAUAAUUUCUUGUUUUGCAAAAUAAUUUCCUGUUGGUAAAAAAAAAAUAAACAUAAUUUAUUUUUAAGAUUCAUUGAAUAACUGUUUUUUUUAAAAAAACUUUAUUAGAUGAUUAUUGUAUCUGAUCUAUAUAAAUAAAAUACAUUGAUUAUUUAAUCAAUAUGAAAAAAAAAAAAAAAAUUAACUUAUAAUAUUGACGGGAUGAGAAUUUUCAGUUGAUUUUAUUGAUUGAUGCUAUCUAUAUUUAGACCAGAGAAGGGUCUAGUUGUUGCCCCGGCAACUAAUAGACCACUCAUAUGUGAUAACAGGGAAGUGAGAAGAAUUCACAAAAUACUACACGUGUCCUUUGGUGUCCCCAGUCAAUUAAUUCUUCCACAUUGACACUUUGACAAUAUUGAGGCAUUAAAAGCAAUGGAUUUUUCCUUAAAAAAAAUGUAGGGUUAAUUAAAUUUUGACUAAAGUGCAUUUUUCCACCCCUAACUUUAAAAAACUUACAAUUUUGACCUCUUAAGUACAAAAACUAUAAUUUUGGCCCCCUAAGAUUUAACCCCUUUGCAACUUUGAUCAUUUUUGUCAAUUUUGACCGGUCAAUGCCUAUAUGGCAUGCCACGGAUGUAAUUAAUGAAUUAAAAAUUAAAAAAACCAUAUAAUCAUUUUUUAAAUCAAAUUAAUGAAAAAUGAAAUUAAAAAAAAAAAAAUAGGAUAAAAAUUAAAAAUAAAAUUCAAAUCCCUCAAUCUUUUAUUUCUUCUUCUUCAUCAUCUCUUCCUCUCAAAACACCCACUGUCACUCUCCUCCGACCACCAUCGGCGGUGACACCUCCUCCUUCUUAUUCAACAAUGCCUCUAUCGCAGCCGUCAUCCAACUUCUUUUUGUGGUGUUUCUUUUUUCUACCCAAUUUGGUUUCUUCUGUUGGUUUUUUAUUUUACCUGCUUUUAAACUUUUGUUUGUUUUUGUAUCUUUUGUAAGAAAAAUUAAAUUUCCAUAACUCUUAUUAAUUAUCUUAAAUACAAAAGAUGAAAAAAUGAGAGAAGAGAACAAUGAAACAUGUAGCACCGCUAGCUAUGUAAGAAUAGUAAUGUCGGGAAUUGUUGGUGAAAAAGUUUGUGUGUGGAAUUGGAAAUAUAACAGUAGAUUUGGAUGUGUUCCAGCCUCUAUCAUCACAGCCGCUUACCUCCACUACAUCAGCCACCAUCUCCAACUUGAGAAUCUUCUUCACUCAUGUUUCAAGGUCUUUUUUCAUUUAUUAAUUCAUGAGCUUAAUUUCACUACAACUUACAAAACGUUUGAUCAGUUAUAUAGUAUAUAUCUUCAUGAAAAUGGACUAGAACAAAAAGAACAAGAAAGUGAAGAGUUUGUAGAUGAUAUGUGUUGGUGAUGAGGAUGAAUGGUGAUAAUGAAUAUUAGAAGAUGAUGGAUGGUGGUACUUGUGAUGGGGGAAGAUGAUAUGUGCCUCUCCUUCUUCAUCUGCUUGUAUUUUUAUUUUAUUUUUCCUGAUUUUUUUAAUUUUUUAAUUUUAUUUUUCAUUUAUUUAAUUUAAAAAAUGAUUAUAUGAUUUUUUAAUUUUUUUAAUUUAUUAAUUACACACGUGGCAUGCCACGUAGGCAUUGACCGGUCAAAAUUGACAAAAAGGAUCAAAGUUGCAAAGGGACUAAAUCUUAGGGGACCAAAAUUGUAGUUUUUGUACUUAGGGGGUCAAAAUUGCAAGUUUUUAAAAGUUAGGGGGGAAAAAGUGCACUUCAGCCUUAAAUUUUUUAUCCUAUAAAUAGCUGCAGUUUUGUUUUUAGUCCUUAUAAAAAUAAAUUACAUUUUUUAGUCCCUAUUUUUCGUUAGCGCUUUUAGUUCCUAUAAAAUUUUUUGUCAGCAUUUUUAGACCCUAUCAAAAAUUUCCAUCAACAUUUUUGGUCUCUAAAAUGCUUAGGGAAAAUUUCACAGGGACUAAAAAGUGUGAUUUUAUUUUAUAGGAACUAAAAUCAAAACCGUGAAUAUUUAUAGGGGUUAAGAACUUAAUUAACCCAAAAAUGUAAUCGAUUUUUAUGAUUGAAAUCAAUGUUCACGGGACACUCUUUAAGCAUUUUUAAUAAAGAAAUUAUUCUUUAAAAAAGUUCAAGACUUCAAUUUUCAAUGCAAUAAAUGUACAAAACUUUCGUAAAAUCUUACCACUUUGAGUGCUUAACUAGUCUGUCAGGGACACUCGUUAACAUUACCCUUAAAAUUAACAUUGCUUUGAUUAUUUUAGUUCAAUUUGAAGAAACAUGGUAAAUACACAUAGAUAUCAGAGGUUCGAAGCUUGUAUAAUAAAAAUAGGGAAAUGUUAACAAAUGCCCUUGGUUAAUAAGGGUCUUGCUAACAAGUGCUAUAAGAACAUUGUUUAAGGAACCCACAAAAAGAAAUUAUGUAUUGAAAAUACAAAUCAAACAUAUGUUAAAGUCAUAACUGUACACUUUCCAGUGCAAUUGUAUGUCGUUUUGGAAAAAAAAUUUGUCCCAAAUUGUAUGUCGUUUUACAAUACCAAUGAAGCAUUAAUGUUAUUUUUUCUAUUAUAUCCUUAAUUAUUUACUACUUUCUCUUCUUCCAAGUCAUUCAUUUAUCUUUCCCAUAUCAUUUACUAAGGACAAUUUUGUAAAACAAUUCAUAAUAUUCAUUUUUCACACAAAAUUAAUUACAUUUCUUAAUAUGUGUGAAAUGCUCAAAACGUCAUACAAUUUGGGACGGAGGGAGUAUAAUAAUACAGAUUUAAAUAUUCCAAAUAAGUUUACUUAUGAAAAUUAUUAGUAGAAAUAUAGAAGAUAAAAUUAUCAUUGAUACAUAAAUAUAUUUAUCUUGUUUUGGCACUUUUAGUCUCUAUUGUGACUAAAUAAAGAGUUAUGUUAACAAUGAAAAAUUGUCAAGAUAAGAUUCGUAAAAGUAUAUUUUACUUUUUCUAUAUAUCUGUCCCCCUCAUAAAAUUUUGACUUGCUUUGCCACUCUUAUGGCUCUUCGUUAAUAAGAAUAGUAGCAACCUAAUUUGAAAUUAUAUUAUAAAGAUUGUGUGAAGCAUAAGAUAGAAAUGUUCGUGCAAGAGUAUGAGUGCUACAAUUUGUUUGAUGCCUAGUCAACACAACUUUGUACCUGUUGUGAUUCAUGAGAAUAAUUUUACAAUCUUGGAAGAUCAUACCGUACUUUGAGUGAUUUAAUUUAUUUUUGUUAUUAUCAUCAACCACCAUUUUGCAGCGUUUCUAAUACCAUGAAGUGAUGCUCUAACGAGUUCAACCAUUCAAGUUCACACAACAAACUCCAACAUUUCAAAGGACAAGCAUACAUGUUUCUUGCUUUUUCUCCCAGAGUUCAAGAUUGUGUUUCAUGCUUAUUCUCGCAAAGUUCAAGAUUGUGUUUCUUCUAUAAGCUCCAAGCAGACAUGGCAAAGUUCACUAAUUAAUUUUGACUCAUCUGUUUCCAUAAUCUAGCAACACAUCAUUGAAGCCUGCGGUAUCUUCCAUUAAUCCUUCCAACGAAGGACACAAGUUCAAUUUUCGCCAACAAAUUAACACCAUCAACAUAAGAACAAAUGUCAAUUAUAUUCAGUGUAGGAUUGACAAACCACGCUAUUUGACUGACAUUCAAUACACUUGCUAGUUAGCCUCUGUCAAUCAGGUAGUUAAUCCCUCCCAAGUAUUAGUGUGUAAUUCAAACCUUAAUCAUGUUUGUUUGUUAGUUAGGGUUAGUUACUUGUCUCUCAAGUAACUAACUGAUUUACCUAUAUUUUAGCUAGUUAGUUACUUUCUGUUUGUUACUUGAUACACAAGUAACAGUGAACAUCUUUGUAUAUAUAUAGUGUAUCCCAUUAUGAAUAAACAAUGCAAUUUUUCACAAUUCAUUAAUUCUCUUAAUUUUUCAAUCUAUUAUUCUCUCUAUCACCAAACUGUUUCUUCUAAUCCAAGUCAUCAACACAGAAACCCUAACAAAAACUGUUAUCCCCUAACACCAAGAGGCCACAUAAAAUGUUUAACCUUCGGAGGGAUGGGAAGUGACCACAUCUUGUUCCAAUCUCUUUCCCGUUUCUAAUUAAUCAUCCCUAUUUAUGAUAAUGUCAACACAAACUCAAUAAGCACUUUUGACUAAAUAUAGACCUUUUCUUGACGAAUCUUCAUAUUAUUGCAUCCUUUCUUGCAAGAUUAGUUCACGGAAUGUUGAGAACUUCAUGUACAUCUAUCUCACUAAAUAAAUUCCAAAGAAGGUUAGUAUUCAAACUUCUAGAGUUUGUAUCAAUAGGUGUACUAAAUUUGUAUGUAGCUAAAAAAUUGGUACAUACAGUAGAUAUAUAUAACAUAACCCUCCCUUCGACAAUAUUCUUUUUUUUUUGCUAAGCAGUGAGAAAGACAAACAUCAGGAGGUAACACCGACGUCCCAAUUAGGUUGACAUCCUGGAAAACCACCGUCCUCUGUCCGCUAAACUCUAAAAAUUUAUUAAUAAAGAGAAAAAAUAUAUACAAGAAGAGGGGAGACUAGACCAAAACCCUAAAAAAAAAAACAAAAAUAUAGGAUUAUGUUGACAUUGUUGAGAAGACCAAAUUCUACAUCAAACAAAGAUAGGAUUAUGUCCUAAAAGACACUCCCAAAAAAUCCCUAUUAAACAGGUAUAUAGCUUUGAAAAGAGUGUAAUAUUUUUUCAAUCAUCUUUUCUGCAAAGGAAUGAUGUAAUAGAAAUACACUAAUACAAUAAGAAGGGAUAGCUUGAGCAACUGAUUUAAUGAACUCUCCUUUCCUGUUCGAGAGAGCUUCUUACUAUUCCAACAAGAAUUAAGCUUCCACAACCGAUUCUUAAUGUAGUUAAAGAUCGAUUUUUCGCUUCUACCUAUCAUAGAUUGGAGCCCAAGAUAUUUUCCGGAGCCCAUGCACUUUGGCACUUGUAAAAUAUUAGAGAGCGUGGAGGAAUAUUUCUACUAAAGAAAAUCUCAUAUUUUUACUUCUUAAUCAUUUGCCCAUAAGUAUUUGCAUAUCUAUCUAAGAUUCCUUUUAGUAUAUGUGUUUCAAUUUCAUUGGCUCUAAAAAAUAAGUUGCCAUUUGCCCAAAAAAAAACAUGACAAAUAGUAGGAACUCAUCAUAUUACCUUCACUCCACGGACCAUUCCUUUUUGCAUUUUUAUUAGUGUCGCCAUUCCUUCCGAACACAUAAUAAAAAGAAAAUACGAUAAAAACUCACCCUAUCUUGACCCUCUUUCUAAGUAAGCUAGUAGAGUUUCAAGUUAGAAAUUACAUUCCAUUGAAUAAUAUAUUUAGGAUUAAGAUUUUUGUGAAUAAUAUUCCUACUCGUAUGUAUGUUUGAUAAAAAUUUAGAGUUUGUUCAGAUGGUUGUAAAUUUUUGGUUUUUAUUAUUGAAAAUCCAUUUCAAAGCCGAAACUUGAUUGUGCAAAAUUAGAUUCAUUUUGUAGCCAAUUAUUUUUUGGAAAAUAUGGUUACUAUGAAGGAUGAAUCCUCAAAAACAAAGAAUGAGACCAACCUCUACCAUGAUUUCCACCAAAUCCAUAGUUGUUGGAGUAGUCGAGUGUCCAUUCUUAAGAAAUUGUAUUCAAGCUUGACCAGGUUUUUAUUAUGGGUGAUCAAACAAACACAAAAGCAUAAAGGGACAUGAUUUCAAUCAAAUUAUGUAAAAAGUUCUGUCCAUUUUUACGGAGUUUAAGUUAUGAUCAAGAAAAAAAAGGUUGACGGAAGAAGCCAACAAUUACAAAUCGUAUCGUGUAGAGGAUGAAUAGGGUAGAGCCUAGCCGUUUUUUUGAAUUUAUUUUAAAUAAUAAUUCAAUUAAAUUGAUUUGAUAUGACAUGGAGAAAACAAGAAUUAUAAUUGGAUGACACUCUAAAGUGAUUUUAGAGUGUCAAUGCAUAUCCAUUUUUCCCUAGUAACAGACACUAUGUCAAGUUCGAUUUUCACUUUCAUAUUUCUAAUUUUAAUACUCACUUAACUUAAUAACAACGGAAAUUUAGAAUAUUUACAAGAACAAAACAAAUUUAACCCAAAAUUUUAUAUAACACACCUUUUUUUUUAUAUUGGUUGAAAUUUCACAAACCACAGAAUAUUGUGUGGGAUAUAUAUGGAUUUUAAUUUAGAUUAGCGUAGUCAAAUUUAAUUUUGUAAAUUUGUCCAAAAAAAAAAUUAAUUUUUUCGUAAAUACUCAAAUUAAUUUAAUGUCUGAAUAUUGAAAUAUACCGUUAAUCAUUUAUAUUAAUGAAAAACAUUUAUUUUAUUUGUAUGUUUUUUUAUUGGACCGAUGUGGAAGAGACUUGUUCUAAAAUUUGCUCAUUGUUCGAUUUAUGAUUAGAGUCGUAUAUAUUGUAUCCAGUGUUAUCUUUCAUGUGUUUAUAAUGCAUGUGCUGAAAAAAUUUAAUAACAAUUCAUGGUGGCUCUAAGAACUCGCGCCUAGCUUCCCCAUGAAGUCUGUUGAGCCAUCCACCUUCCUCAAAGUAUAGGUUUAGUCAUAUACAAGGUUUUAAAAAAUGGGCUGUUAUCGGGAAAAAUUCCGUGACAAUAAGGUAUAGGUAGCCGAUGUUAUCGUUUUUUACCGUUUUUAUAGAGUGAACAAAAAUCACAACGAAACGUCGUUUCAACUGCGAUGAAACACCAUUGCGGCCGCAAGAAAUGUCGUUUAUGACAAUUGUCAUAGAAUAUGGAUAUUUUUUCAAUUAAGAUAGAUGAAAAUCAUAUUUUUAGUACAUAUUUAAUCAUAAUGUUGGUUCCUCAUCUAGUUUAGAACUCAAAAUCUAUCUCUAGUUUAUGUUAUUUACUUUACUAUCAUCAUUUAAGAAUUUUGCAAUGUUAUGAUUAAUUCACACCGUGACAACCGUAAUCCGUAGUGCAACAUCCGUAACAGUUGAAAUCGCAAAAUCCUAUACGCGAUCGCGAUCGCGUCCGUUAUUUAAAACAUUGGUCAUAUAUAUGUUUAUUGUUUCUAUUUUAUAUAUAGAUAUAUGAUUAUAAUUUUAUAAGGUUAGGGCAUAAAUUAAGGAACAAAAAGUAGAAGUUUCUCCUUGAAAAUUGAGCAUUCAAUCUCUUGAAAGUUUCAAAAGUUAUUUUAUCAACAAAAAAAUUUAGGGUCAUGUUAACUUGUGCCCUAAGGGCACAAAUAGGGUACAAGUUAAUAAACUAAAAAUGGAAUAAAAAGACAACUUUAGCAUUGAAAAUAUAAAUUUUCAAACUUUUAAUACAAUGAAUGUACAAUUCCCAAGAAAAAGUUUCUAUGUUUAAUUUUCAAAUUUUUAAUACAAUGAAUGUAUAAUUUCCCAAAAAUUUAUUACUUAAUUCUAUUUUAAGUUCCUUAACUUAUGCCCUAACAUGACCCAAUUUAUAAAAGUUUUAUAUUUUAUAUAAGCAUAUUUUUGUUGGGUUACUGGAGGAGCCGAGGGACCGUCCACAUCGAGGCUAGAACAACCACACAAGCAAGAGAGACACCACACUCUUAUCCAAAACCUAAAGGUAAUGUGUUUAUUGGUCCUCUUACUUAUAAGGUGUUCAACCUUUACUCUUUUAUCCGAUGUGGGACAUAUAACUCACACUUGCAAACAACAACAAUUUUUAGAAAUUUUAGUGAAUUUUAUCUAAAAAAUAACAAUAUGUUACAAAUAUGUAUUAAGAAGUUUUAUGUUAUGAAUUUUACUCCCUCAAAAAAAAAAAUGUUAUGAACUUUAUAAUCGGUCAAUUUUCUUAAAAACCAAAUUAAAGUAAUAACAACAAUGAUAUAAUACACAUUCACCACUUCUUGCAAAAGCUCAUCCCCAUCACAGAUACAUAGAUUGAUGCAAAUUUAUACAUGAUUUUCACUCCUGGAAUAUCUUUACUAUAUAGUGACAAGAUAGAUGACAGCAACUGAGAUUGAUGUCUAUCUAUGCAUGCCAUUUUUUAUCAACUCACAAACAUUAUUUAUUCAUGAAAUUUAUUAUUAAGAAAGAGUGCAUCAUAACAUGAUCAUAGCAUUAUGAUCAAUUCUGAGUUUUGUCCUCAGCUUGCACGGCAACAAAUUCAGCAUGUGAGCAGCAAUGGCCAUGGCAAUAGUAAUGGCAACCACCUCCACCAUGGUGAGAACCACCUCCACCGUGAGAACCACCUCCAUAGUAAUGUCCACCACCAUUGUGGUAAUUACCACCACCAUUGUGAUAACCACCACCACCAUAUUUGGCAUCAUUUACUUCAUUAGUCUUUUCCUCAGUUUGGACGGCAACAAAUUCAGCAUAUGAGCAGCAAUGGCCAUGGCAAUAGUAAUGACAACCACCUCCACCGUGGUGAGAACCACCUCCACCGUGGUGAGAACCACCUCCAUAGUAAUGGCCACCGCCAUUGUGGUAAUUACCGCCACCACCAUAUUUGGCAUCGUUUACUUCAUUAGUCUUUUCAACAACCUCUGCAAACAUAAUAUAUAUGAACGAUUACAUUUUAUAUACAUAUAAGAAUGAUCAAAUCACAUCGCUGUAAUGUUUGAAUAUUUUUACAAUGCUCAAAAACUUCUUAUUUGAUACUUAUUUUAUAAAGCUAAACAGUUAAAUGUAUAAUUAUAUGAUAGAUAUUAAAUAUAAUUAUGUAGAAAAGAAUUAAUAAAAUAUAUAAAUGCUCAUGAAUAUAUAUAGAGAGAGAAAUAAUAUAUAACUCACCCUUUUUGGCAUCAGAGGAAGUUUCAGUUAAGUCCCUAGCGGACACUUCUGAGGAAAUAAGAAGAACCAUAGCCAAGAGGCCUAGGAUGAGGAUUGCCUUUUUCGAAUCCAUUGUUCAAUAUCUGUUCAAAUGUAAUAUUUGGUAGUGAACGAUGAGAAAACUAGUAAGAAGUGUGCUCUAUAUAUAAUGGAGGGAAAGAGUGGUAUGUAGGGACCUUUACUUGGUAGUUGAAG
This 17493-nucleotide long non-coding RNA is filed under the name Medicago truncatula (barrel medic). RNAcentral's name for it is "long non-coding RNA (MTRU_LNC003591)". Lineage: Eukaryota; Viridiplantae; Streptophyta; Magnoliopsida; Fabales; Fabaceae. The record is from RNAcentral.